AAUGGCGAAUGCACAGGGAUAAGCUCAGUUUGACAAUUUGUGCUUCUUGCUUCAACUUGUAGCUUUGGGUUGUGUGGCCAGUGGAGGCACAGCUUGAAACUUUUGGAACAGAGUGUUGGUAAUGGUGCAAACCCUGUACAUCAGUUGCAGCCCUCAGCGUUUUGUACACCUACUCUGAGUUGUGCCCUUUUGGAUUGGUGCACGAAUUGGUUGGUAAUGUUCAUCUAAAGCAAAACACGUGUCCAAAACUAAUAGCAAACAAGUACGAUGAUGGAAAGGUGAAACAGGACUUUGAACAGAGAGACAAAUAUGCUUGAACUUGCUGUACAGGAAAUGAGGGGAGCCAGGGCAUAUUGGGAAGAUUGNNNNNNNNNACCCGUCUUGAAACACGGAUCAAGGAGUCUAGCGCAUAUGCAAGCUCUAUGGGUUGCACUCAUGCGCACACACACACACCUUAUUGCUUGAUGAGCGUGCCUGUUUAGAUGUGUGCAUUAGCUGCUUGUUUUUUUUUCAAACCUGGAGAAUGUGAUUGCGAGUGUACAUGUUAGGACCCGAAAGAUGGUGAACUAUGCCUGUUGAAAGCUAAUCCAGGGGAAACUCUGAUGGAGGCCUACAGCGGUACUGACGUGCAAAUCGUUCGUUAUACAUGGGCAUGUGGGGUGAAAGACUAAUCGAAUCAUCUAGUAGCUGGUUCCCUCCGAAGUGUCCCUCAGGAUAGCUGGGCUGGGCAGCUGUACCAAGUAAAGCGAAUGAUUAGAGGAAUUGGGGGGCAUGUUGUCAUUGAGCUAUUCUCAAACUCUAAAUAGGUACAUUCCUGCUGUUGCAUGUGUGAGGUCUUGGGUGUAAGUGGCGAGUCAAAGUGGGCCAUUCUUGGUAAGCAGAACUGGUGAUGGGGGAUGAAUCUAAUGUUAGACUAAAACGCCUUGUUGCUCACUCAUCAGAUACCACAAAGGGUGUUGGCUCAUAUUAACAGCAGGACGGUGGUCAUGGAAGUUGAAA
This 999-nucleotide ribosomal RNA is filed under the name Protoperidinium conicum. Its description in RNAcentral is "eukaryotic LSU rRNA". It matches the Rfam family "Eukaryotic large subunit ribosomal RNA", at positions 85 to 1266 of the family's 3401-position model. The record is from RNAcentral. Lineage: Eukaryota; Dinophyceae; Peridiniales; Protoperidiniaceae.